This 84-nucleotide non-coding RNA is filed under the name uncultured Rhodobacter sp. RNAcentral describes it as "TPP riboswitch (THI element)". It matches the Rfam family "TPP riboswitch aptamer (THI element)", at positions 7 to 92 of the family's 105-position model. Rfam says of the family: Vitamin B(1) in its active form thiamin pyrophosphate (TPP) is an essential coenzyme that is synthesised by coupling of pyrimidine and thiazole moieties in bacteria. The previously detected thiamin-regulatory element, thi box was extended, resulting in a new, highly conserved RNA secondary structure, the THI element, which is widely distributed in eubacteria and also occurs in some archaea. Analysis of operon structures identified a large number of new candidate thiamin-regulated genes, mostly transporters, in various prokaryotic organisms. Lineage: Bacteria; Pseudomonadati; Pseudomonadota; Alphaproteobacteria; Rhodobacterales. The record is from RNAcentral.
ACCUCGGGGUGUCCCUCACAGGGCUGAGACGCGCAAGCGAACCCGUUGAACCUGAACCGGCUCAUACCGGCGGAGGGAAGGUGC